This 318-nucleotide ribosomal RNA is filed under the name uncultured bacterium. Its description in RNAcentral is "bacterial SSU rRNA". It matches the Rfam family "Bacterial small subunit ribosomal RNA", at positions 28 to 346 of the family's 1533-position model. The record is from RNAcentral.
AGCGAACGCUGGCGGCGUGCUUAACACAUGCAAGUCGAGCGGUAAGGCCCUUUCGGGGGUGCACGAGCGGCGAACGGGUGAGUAACACGUGGGUGACCUGCCCUCAGCUCUGGGAUAAGCCUGGGAAACCGGGUCUAAUACUGGAUAUGACUCCAUGACGCAUGUUGUGGGGUGGAAAGUCUUGUGCGGCUGAGGAUGGGCCCGCGGCCUAUCAGCUUGUUGGUGGGGGAUGGCCUACCAAGGCGACGACGGGUAGCCGGCCUGAGAGGGCGACCGGCCACACUGGGACUGAGACACGGCCCAGACCUCCGUACGGGA